GACGAACGCUGGCGGCGUGCUUAACACAUGCAAGUCGAACGGAAAGGCCCUGCUUUUGUGGGGUGCUCGAGUGGCGAACGGGUGAGUAACACGUGAGUAACCUGCCCUUGACUUUGGGAUAACUUCAGGAAACUGGGGCUAAUACCGGAUAGGAGCUCCUGCUGCCUGGUGGGGGUUGGAAAGUUUCGGCGGUUGGGGUUGGACUCGCGGCUUAUCAGCUUGUUGGUGGGGUAGUGGCUUACCAAGGCUUUGACGGGUUGCCGGCCUGAGAGGGUGACCGGCCACAUUGGGACUGAGAUACGGCCCAGACUCCUACGGGAGGCAGCAGUGGGGAAUAUUGCACAAUGGGCGGAAGCCUGAUGCAGCAACGCCGCGUGCGGGAUGACGGCCUUCGGGUUGUAAACCGCUUUCGCCUGUGACGAAGCGUGAGUGACGGUAAUGGGUAAAGAAGCACCGGCUAACUACGUG
RNAcentral lists this ribosomal RNA (468 nucleotides) under uncultured bacterium. Its description in RNAcentral is "partial 16S ribosomal RNA". It matches the Rfam family "Bacterial small subunit ribosomal RNA", at positions 28 to 507 of the family's 1533-position model. The record is from RNAcentral.